Molecule: non-coding RNA, 73 nt
Organism: Carassius auratus (goldfish)
Lineage: Eukaryota; Metazoa; Chordata; Actinopteri; Cypriniformes; Cyprinidae
Source: the annotation of a RefSeq genome assembly
GUUCCUGUAGCUCAACUGGUAGAGCACUGCGCUUAUCAAGCGCAAGGUUGUGGGUUCGAUUCCCCCGGGAACA